CCUAGGGUGGCUGCAGUGGGGAAUAUUGGACAAUGGGCGAAAGCCUGAUCCAGCCAUGCCGCGUGUGUGAAGAAGGCCUUCGGGUUGUAAAGCACUUUCAGUGGGGAAGAAAGCCUUGGGGCUAAUACCCUCGAGGAAGGACAUCACCCACAGAAGAAGCACCGGCUAACUCCGUGCCAGCAGCCGCGGUAAUACGGAGGGUGCGAGCGUUAAUCGGAAUUACUGGGCGUAAAGCGCGCGUAGGCGGUCUGAUAAGCCGGUUGUGAAAGCCCCGGGCUCAACCUGGGAACGGCAUCCGGAACUGUCAGGCUAGAGUGCAGGAGAGGAAGGUAGAAUUCCCGGUGUAGCAGUGAAAUGCGUAGAGAUCGGGAGGAAUACCAGUGGCGAAGGCGGCCUUCUGGACUGACACUGACGCUGAGGUGCGAAAGCGUGGGUAGCAAACAGGAUUAGAUACCCCGGUAGUC
This 464-nucleotide ribosomal RNA is filed under the name Vreelandella stevensii. RNAcentral's name for it is "partial 16S ribosomal RNA". It matches the Rfam family "Bacterial small subunit ribosomal RNA", at positions 338 to 795 of the family's 1533-position model. Lineage: Bacteria; Pseudomonadati; Pseudomonadota; Gammaproteobacteria; Oceanospirillales; Halomonadaceae. The record is from RNAcentral.